UAGAAGUUAUUUGCCUCCAAUACUUUGGUU
This 30-nucleotide non-coding RNA is filed under the name Mus musculus (house mouse). Lineage: Eukaryota; Metazoa; Chordata; Mammalia; Rodentia; Muridae. The record is from RNAcentral.